GACACUUUGGCCGAGUGGUUAAGGCGUUAGCCUGC
RNAcentral lists this transfer RNA (35 nucleotides) under Blepharisma stoltei. Its description in RNAcentral is "tRNA-Ser(gct)". Lineage: Eukaryota; Ciliophora; Heterotrichea; Heterotrichida; Blepharismidae. The record is from RNAcentral.